This 784-nucleotide long non-coding RNA is filed under the name Parus major (Great Tit). RNAcentral describes it as "lncRNA (ENSPMJG00000002766.1)". The record is from RNAcentral. Lineage: Eukaryota; Metazoa; Chordata; Aves; Passeriformes; Paridae.
GCAGGGACAGUGCCACCCCUGGGGACAGGCAGGGCAGGGACAGUGCCACCCCUGGGGACAGCACAGCUGGUGGCAGUGCCACUGUCCCAAUCAAGGACAGCACAGCCAGGGCCAGUGCCACCCCUGGGGACAGGCCAGGCAGUGCCACCCCUGGGGACAGGCAGAUCAGGGCCAGUGCCACCCCUGGGGACAGGCCAGGCAGGAGCAGUGCCACCCCUGGGGACAGGCUGGGCAGUGCCACCAUCUCCAGCAGGGACAGGCCACCCAGAGACAGUGGCACCACUGGGGACAGGAGCAGUGGCAGUGGGGACAGGAGCAGUGGCAGUGCCACCGUCUCCAGCAGGGACAGGCCACCCAGGGCCAGUGGCACUGGGGACAGGAGCAGUGGCAGUGCCAUUGUCUCCGUCAGGGACAGGCCACCCAGAGACAGUGACAGUGGGGAAAGGAGCAGUGACACCACAGGGGACAGGCCUGGCAGUGCCACCACUGGGGACAGGCCUGGCAGUGCCACCGUCCCUGUCAGGGACAGGCCACACAGGCCCAGUGGCAGUGGGGACAGGAGCAGUGGCAGUGCCACUGUGCCCAGCAGGGACAGGCCACCCAGGCCCAGUGACUUUGGGGACAGGAGCAGUGGCACCACUGGGGACAGGCCUGGCAGUGCCACCACUGGGGACAGGCCUGGCAGUGCCACCAGCCCUGUCAGGGACCGAUCACACAGGCCUAGUGACUUUGGGGACAGACUGGGCAGUGCCACCGUGCCCAGCAAGGACAGGCCACACAGGCC